RNAcentral lists this ribosomal RNA (100 nucleotides) under uncultured bacterium. RNAcentral describes it as "partial 16S ribosomal RNA". It matches the Rfam family "Bacterial small subunit ribosomal RNA", at positions 370 to 488 of the family's 1533-position model. The record is from RNAcentral.
AAUGGGCGCAAGCCUGAUCCAGCCAUGCCGCGUGAGUGAUGAAGGCCUUAGGGUUGUAAAGCUCUUUUGUCCGGGACGAUAAUGACGUACCGGAAGAUAG